AGGCUGCCAUGCGCGCAGCUGAUCAGCAUGCCGCGUGAGUGUGAAGGCCUUCGGGUUGUAAAGCUCUUUUGUCAGGGAAGAAACUGCCGGGGCUAAUAUCCUUGGCUAAUGACCGUUCCUGGCGAAUAAGCACCGGCUUACUUCGUGCCAGCAGCCGCGGUAAUUA
RNAcentral lists this ribosomal RNA (166 nucleotides) under uncultured bacterium. RNAcentral describes it as "partial 16S ribosomal RNA". It matches the Rfam family "Bacterial small subunit ribosomal RNA", at positions 359 to 525 of the family's 1533-position model. The record is from RNAcentral.